Molecule: unclassified non-coding RNA, 341 nt
Filed under: soil metagenome
Description: partial contains 5.8S ribosomal RNA, internal transcribed spacer 2, and large subunit ribosomal RNA
Rfam family: 5.8S ribosomal RNA (bases 1-120)
Source: RNAcentral
GAUGAAGAACGUAGCGAAAUGCGAUAAGUAAUGUGAAUUGCAGAAUUCCGUGAAUCAUCGAAUCUUUGAACGCACAUUGCGCCCCCUGGUAUUCCAAAGGGCAUGCCUGUUCGAGCGUCAUUUGUACCCUCAAGCUUUGCUUGGUGUUGGGCGUCUUGUCUCUAGCUUUGCUGGAGACUCGCCUUAAAGUAAUUGGCAGCCGGCCUACUGGUUUCGGAGCGCAGCACAAGUCGCACUCUCUAUCAGCAAAGGUCUAGCAUCCAUUAAGCCUUUUUUUCAACUUUUGACCUCGGAUCAGGUAGGGAUACCCGCUGAACUUAAGCAUAUCAAUAAGCGGAGGA